GCGGAGGGAUCAUUACUGAGUUUACGCUCUACAACCCUUUGUGAACAUACCUAUAACUGUUGCUUCGGCGGGUAGGGUCUCCGCGACCCUCCCGGCCUCCCGCCUCCGGGCGGGUCGGCGCCCGCCGGAGGAUAACCAAACUCUGAUUUAACGACGUUUCUUCUGAGUGGUACAAGCAAAUAAUCAAAACUUUUAACAACGGAUCUCUUGGUUCUGGCAUCGAUGAAGAACGCAGCGAAAUGCGAUAAGUAAUGUGAAUUGCAGAAUUCAGUGAAUCAUCGAAUCUUUGAACGCACAUUGCGCCCGCCAGCAUUCUGGCGGGCAUGCCUGUUCGAGCGUCAUUUCAACCCUCAAGCUCUGCUUGGUGUUGGGGCCCUACAGCUGAUGUAGGCCCUCAAAGGUAGUGGCGGACCCUCUCGGAGCCUCCUUUGCGUAGUAACUUUACGUCUCGCACUGGGAUCCGGAGGGACUCUUGCCGUAAAACCCCCAAUUUUCCAAAGGUUGACCUCGGAUCAGGUAGGAAUACCCGCUGAACUUAAGCAU
RNAcentral lists this ribosomal RNA (543 nucleotides) under Colletotrichum siamense. RNAcentral describes it as "eukaryotic LSU rRNA". The stretch from base 188 to 341 matches the Rfam family "5.8S ribosomal RNA". The record is from RNAcentral. Lineage: Eukaryota; Fungi; Ascomycota; Sordariomycetes; Glomerellales; Glomerellaceae.